This 508-nucleotide ribosomal RNA is filed under the name uncultured bacterium. RNAcentral's name for it is "partial 16S ribosomal RNA". It matches the Rfam family "Bacterial small subunit ribosomal RNA", at positions 30 to 523 of the family's 1533-position model. The record is from RNAcentral.
AUUGAACGCUGGCGGCAUGCCUUACACAUGCAAGUCGAACGGCAGCGGGGGAGAAGCUUGCUUUUCCUGCCGGCGAGAGGCGAACGGGUGAGUAAUACAUCGGAACGUGCCCUGUAGUGGGGGAUAACUAGUCGAAAGAUUAGCUAAUACCGCAUACGACCUGAGGGUGAAAGUGGGGGACCGCAAGGCCUCAUGCUAUAGGAGCGGCCGAUGUCUGAUGAGCUAGUUGGUGGGGUAAAGGCCUACCAAGGCGACGAUCAGUAGCUGGUCUGAGAGGACGAUCAGCCACACUGGGACUGAGACACGGCCCAGACUCCCACGGGAGGCAGCAGUGGGGAAUUUUGGACAAUGGGCGAAAGCCUGAUCCAGCAAUGCCGCGUGUGUGAAGAAGGCCUUCGGGUUGUAAAGCACUUUUGUCCGGAAAGAAGUGGCUCUGGUUAAUACCUGGGGUCGAUGACGGUACCGGAAGAAUAAGGACCGGCUAACUACGUGCCAGCCGCCGCCGUAA